This 253-nucleotide ribosomal RNA is filed under the name uncultured bacterium. RNAcentral describes it as "partial 16S ribosomal RNA". It matches the Rfam family "Bacterial small subunit ribosomal RNA", at positions 524 to 776 of the family's 1533-position model. The record is from RNAcentral.
UACGGAGGGGGCUAGCGUUGUUCGGAUUACUGGGGCGUAAAGCGCACGUAGGCGGCUUUGUAAGUUAGAGGUGAAAGCCCGGAGCUCAACUCCGGAAUUGCCUUUAAGACUGCAUCGCUAGAAUUGUGGAGAGGUAAGUGGAAUUCCGAGUGUAGAGGUGAAAUUCGUAGAUAUUCGGAAGAACACCAGUGGCGAAGGCGACUUACUGGACACAUAUUGACGCUGAGGUGCGAAAGCGUGGGGAGCAAACAGG